Molecule: ribosomal RNA, 447 nt
Filed under: uncultured bacterium
Lineage: Bacteria
Description: bacterial SSU rRNA
Rfam family: Bacterial small subunit ribosomal RNA
Source: RNAcentral
UCCAGACUCCUACGGGAGGCAGCAGUGGGGAAUAUUGCACAAUGGGGGAAACCCUGGUGCAGCAACGCCGCGUGAGUGAAGAAGUAUUUCGGUAUGUAAAGCUCUAUCAGCAGGGAAGAAAAUGACAGUACCUGACUAAGAAGCCCCGGCUAACUACGUGCCAGCAGCCGCGGUAAUACGUAGGGGGCAAGCGUUAUCCGGAUUUACUGGGUGUAAAGGGAGCGUAGGCGGUUUAGCAAGUCAGAAGUGAAAGCCCGGGGCUCAACUCCGGGACUGCUUUUGAAACUGUUGAACUAGAUUGCAGGAGAGGUAAGUGGAAUUCCUAGUGUAGCGGUGAAAUGCGUAGAUAUUAGGAGGAACACCAGUGGCGAAGGCGGCUUACUGGACUGUAAAUGACGCUGAGGCUCGAAAGCGUGGGGAGCAAACAGGAUUAGAUACCCUGGUACG